RNAcentral lists this ribosomal RNA (530 nucleotides) under Tydemania gardineri. RNAcentral describes it as "bacterial SSU rRNA". It matches the Rfam family "Eukaryotic small subunit ribosomal RNA", at positions 605 to 1137 of the family's 1831-position model. Lineage: Eukaryota; Viridiplantae; Chlorophyta; Ulvophyceae; Bryopsidales; Halimedaceae. The record is from RNAcentral.
GUAAAUUGUUGCGGUUGAAAAGCUCGUAGUUGGACUUCUGGCGGCUGCGGUCGGUCCGCCUCCGCGCGAGCACUGGCCGCGGCCGUCGUUUCUGUCGACGGUGCGCGUCGGGCUUCACUGGUCGGUGCGUUCUCUGUCGGCGACGUUACUUUGAGGAAAUCAGAGUGCUUAAAGCAAGCGUUCGCUCGUGACUUCACUAGCAUGGAAUAACACAGAUGGGCUCUUUCUCGCAAUGUUGGUCUGCGUCAAUUGAGCAACGAUCGAUAGAGACGGUCGGGGGCAUUCGUAUUGCGCAGUUAGAGGUGAAAUUCUCCGAUCUGCGCAAGACGCACUAAUGCGAAAGCAGUUGCCAAGGACGUCCUCUUAUGAUCAAGAGCGAAAGUCGGGGGAUCAAAGAUGAUUAGAUACCGUCGUAGUCCCGACCAUAAAUGAUGCCGACUGAGCGUCGGCGACUCGGCUUUUGGCCGAACGUCGGCGCUCUUGAGAGAAAUUAAAGUCUUUGGGCUCCGGGGGUAGUAUGGUCGCAAGGC